Long non-coding RNA from Harpia harpyja (harpy eagle), 2612 nucleotides. RefSeq lists it as uncharacterized. NCBI's taxonomy places the organism in Eukaryota, Metazoa, Chordata, Aves, Accipitriformes, Accipitridae. The record is from RefSeq and is a predicted model, not a curated record. The transcript has 3 exons.
CGGGCCCGGAGCGGGGAGUGCCCCCGCCUCUCCCCGCACCCUCAACUCCCGCGCUCCCUGACAGCCAUUUUGGGGGUUAGGCACCUCGCUCCCCCCUACCCCCCGCCUCCGAGCUAGGGAAGCGGGAAGGGGGCCGGGAGCGGGGAAGGAGCGCUGGGAGGCGAGAAGAAAGUGGCCCGGAGCAGAGCCCGGGGAACAAAGAACUUCUCGCCCAAGUGGCAAGACCUGGCAGGGAUUUGGUCUGCCAGGGGCACUUCACUGUGCUACUCCUCUCUGGUUGCACUGGUCCCAUUUCCAGCUAUAAACUGACUUGGGGGCAUUGCUGAGCCAACGGGAAGAGCUUUGCUGGGGGUAUGGUCAGGACUGCAGACAGUGAUGACCCAGGCAAUUAAAAUGCAUGGAAGCAGCAUGUAUUUCCUACAAGCAGGAACCACUUUUCUGAGUAUUCUGCUGCAAAACGACCUUGUGCCACAUGAAGAGGCUGCCGUGGCAUCCAGCUGCUACGAACACAUCGAAAGAGCCCGUUUGUUUAGACACAUACUGGAUAAUUGAUUUCCGCUGUACAUUAAAAAAGCAUUCUUCCGUUUUGUUGGCAACACCAGAUCUUUUUAAUUUAAUUAAUGUUUCAAAAGGUAAACUGAUUCAAUUAGGAUAACUUUUCAAUGGAAAUAGUGAGAUGCAGAAGAAAGUGUUUUUCAAAGCUAGCUGAAGGAUCUUGUGUGACUUCCCCAAGAGAGGAAAGCAGCCUACUUUAAAUCAGCUGAGUUUCAUCAAUAAAAGGAGAAUGGGGCCUAGUGGAAUCACUCUGGAGCUCUGCUGCUUGCAAAAAUACUUUAUUUCCCAUGGUAAUUUUAAAAAACUUUUUGUUUUUAAUAUAAAGACACUUCCCCCCCCGCCCCAGCCAGCCCCACUUUGUCAAAAACAGCAAACAAAACAUGUUUCUAAAAAAUACCUGAUGAACUCUUCAGGGGUGCAAAAUCAAGCGGAAGUCUUGCAAUAGAGAAUUGAUGUGACUGGAGUAUAAAACAUUUAGGGCUGCAUUAUGUCUUUGAACAGAAAAUAUGUUACGCCACCUUCCUAGGAAGUUUCAUUCCUCAGGGCCUCCUUUGUUGUAGGUGGACAACAGCACGCUGCCGAUCCAGUAACCAUUUGAGAUAGACAGCGCCUACGCGAGGUGACCUACUGCGGCCAGCAACUGGGCCGUAAGGCUGCCACUCCCUCCACGUCCCUCAUCGCCCCCCUGCUCUGCAGAGGCACCAGGAAAAGGACUGCUUUUCAUCUGUGUGAGGGUGGACGGUGACUUCACAUAAGGACGAGCGUGAGGAGAACCAGCCAGCUCAGGCAGGGCAAGCUGAGGACUCUGAGGUCUCAAAGAGCCCAGGACUAACACCUACCAGCUUUAAAGCCCCUACCCACUUUAAUAGUUUACAAGAGCAGCAACACUGUUUUUAUGGGACCCCAAAAUCAUCCUCUCUUUCUCAUUAGCAGUGAGAUAAUGUUACCCUGAAACCAGCGAGAAACAGUAAUUCUACUUGCCAUGUUCAAAACCAGUCAGUUUUUAAGUACAGGCUUAUACAGUCCCUACUGGAGCCCCCAAAACCCAGGAAAAUCUGUUCUUCAUUAAGGCUUUGGGUCAUAUGCCAUUCAUCUGUGUGCAUGGGACCCCACUGAUACUGGCUUGUGGGACUGACACGCAGAACAAAACCAGCAUGUAGCCCCUUUCAUGCUGCAUUUCUCCGGUGGACAUAUUUCAACCUGAAGCUGUAAAUGGCUUAAAAUGCAGGCCCUGCCUGUCUCAUGAUUCAUGCCCAAACCUCCCACGGAUGCCACUGAGGAGGGGCAUGUAGGAAAUGCGGGAUCUGUUGCCUGUUCUCGUAAAUGGAGGUUAUAGCAUCUCCUUCAAAAAAUAAUUUUCUUAAUCAUCAGGAACGACAUCUGCUUUUCAUGAAGACAACUCGAGUCAGCUAAAAGAUGAUGGGGGAACGACCUCCUGCUUUCACUUCUGAAGUGACUAGGUAAUCAUUUGUCUUUCUUAUAAAGCAGGAAUCAUACUCCUUUUACAUUUAGAUAAGGGAAAUGGAACGCAUCCAGCAAAAAACACUAGCCAUCCUCCAACAGACCACAGAAAUCGGAUGGAUACCAGCACUGAAGGAGGCUCGCUUAGGUAGACUUGGGAAAACUCCUGAAAAGAGCUUUUCCAGAAUUCAACCCCCCUCAAUUGUGCAAUGGAGAAUUACAAAGUCUCCGAGAACAUGAGCUAGUAGAGUGUGCAUGACACUCAGAAAUGCCUACGUAGCGAAACCUAAAGGACUGGGUUUUACAGAGUGGUCAGCCAAAGAGACUUUUUGUUGAUGAUGUAAUAUUUGUAACUUGAUAAUCUGCUUGAGAAAUGUGAUGAAGAAGUUGUUCCUGGAACUACUUUAAACUGCCUUGGAGCCUGCAUGUGUAUUUGCAGCUGAGCAGUUGAAAUAAAUCCAUGUUAGGAAAACACCAAUGUCAUUAGUUGAGCUUGAUGCAUAAUACAAAGCCUGUCUCUCUUCCCAAGCUCAGCAGUUUGGCUAACAGGCCAGACAGCAAUGUUGACAGUACAAAUUACUGACUAAUUCCUUUCA